UUUAUCAAGUAAUUUUAGUCAUGAGGGAGCACAAAUCCAUGCUCAGCAGCAGGGGUAGGUUUAUGACAUUUGGUAUUUGUUUUUGUUUCAUCCUCAACGAUGUAAACAGUUGAAGGAGGAAAAACUGCUGCUAAGUUACGCUGCAUAUUCUCAAGUUUUUUAUUGAUUCAAUCACUUAAUUUCUCAUCUUGAAGAUCCGCUUACCAUCCGGAAAACUAUGCAUAUGAAGGGAGCUGUUUUGCUGUCGGAUGUAAACAACCUGAUGCAAGUGUUGCGAGGUCAUUGAACUUAAAUUUCACAUCUGCAGUGGAGAUUGUCUGUGACCGACUACUAAAAGAGAGGAUGCUGUUCACUCAUUGCAAGGAAUCUACUGUAGUUCGAGCUCAAUCAAAUGCUCAUUCUCUGAAUUGAUCCGAAGGAUAAAGGAUAUGUUAUGAUCUGAGCUGAAGGCGCUGUUGAAUGAAAAACUGCAGGAUGGACUUCGUGAAAAAGUGCAUUUCAUUGCGGACAAGCUGGAGUUUCUGGUUUCUGGAGUUUCGGAUCAUGGUAUGCCUUUCACUACAUACACUAUAUUACAAAGAAAGAUCAAAUUGCUUAAGGCUUACAUACUUUAUUAAUUACUCUUCUGUUAUUUUCGACGCGAUGGGACUUGAAUUCACCUUUUAAUAAAGUGUGGCAUGUGAUCAUUCAUUUA
Molecule: long non-coding RNA, 694 nt
Filed under: Aedes aegypti (yellow fever mosquito)
Lineage: Eukaryota; Metazoa; Arthropoda; Insecta; Diptera; Culicidae
Description: lncRNA AAEL022684
Source: RNAcentral